UCCGGUUUGUCACCGGCAGUCUCCCUAGAGUGCCCUUGCGUAGCAACUAGGGACAAGGGUUGCGCUCGUUGCGGGACUUAACCCAACAUCUCACGACACGAGCUGACGACAGCCAUGCAGCACCUGUGUUCCGGUUCUCUUUCGAGCACUCCCAGAUCUCUCCGGGAUUCCAUCCAUGUCAAGGGUAGGUAAGGUUUUUCGCGUUGCAUCGAAUUAAUCCACAUCAUCCACCGCUUGUGCGGGUCCCCGUCAAUUCCUUUGAGUUUUAGUCUUGCGACCGUACUCCCCAGGCGGAGUGCUUAACGCGUUAGCUUCGGCACCACGAGGGUCAAGGCCCGUGACACCUAGCACUCAUCGUUUACGGCGUGGACUAC
RNAcentral lists this unclassified non-coding RNA (374 nucleotides) under uncultured Gammaproteobacteria bacterium. RNAcentral's name for it is "contains 16S-23S intergenic spacer region". Lineage: Bacteria; Pseudomonadati; Pseudomonadota; Gammaproteobacteria. The record is from RNAcentral.